This 408-nucleotide long non-coding RNA is filed under the name Equus asinus (donkey). Its description in RNAcentral is "lncRNA (ENSEASG00005034819.1)". Lineage: Eukaryota; Metazoa; Chordata; Mammalia; Perissodactyla; Equidae. The record is from RNAcentral.
AAUCAUCCACCUAUGAAGACCGCAGUAGGAUGCUCAUUAAGACUCAGUCAACAACACUUUUAGAAUCACUUGCUCUGGGAGAGCUGACGCCAUGUCAGGAGGACACUCAAGCAGGCCUGUGGAGAAGGACGUGUGGAGAGGAACGAGGCCUCCUCACAACAGCCAGCAUCACGUUUCCAUCUGGAUGAGUGAGCCGUCCUGGAAACGGAUCCUCCAGCCCCAGUGACGCCUUCCCAUGACCGCGGCCCUGGCCGACAUCUUGACUGCAGCCUCAUGAGAGACCUUGAGCCAGAAAUACCCAGUUAAACGGCUCCUGGAUUCCUGACCCACAGAAACUCUGUGACAGGAUCGAGGGACAUGGUGACCGACCCAAUCGAGCUGUGAUGGAAUCAAGAGGAGGACCUGGCG